Homo sapiens (human) is the source of this 3007-nucleotide long non-coding RNA. The record is from Ensembl. Lineage: Eukaryota; Metazoa; Chordata; Mammalia; Primates; Hominidae.
GGUGAUUCCAGAUGCCUGCAGGUGAUCAGAUAUCUAAGUAACCCUCUUGCCACCAAAUACCACACACACUUCAGUUACUCUUUCAAAAAAAAUUAUCAAGCAACUGCUCUGUGCCAGAGACUCUUCUAGUCCUGAAGAUACAGUGAUAAAUAAGAUAGAGACAGUUCCUGCUGCCAUUCAGCUUGGUUCUAGUGAGAAAGACAGAUAUAUUAAAAAAUAACUUGACAUUACAUUUUCAAGAAUUUAAGUACUUUAUUGGAAAAUAUAACUGUGUAAGAAGACAGAUAUUGACAAGGACACUUAGUUCUUGUAGCGAGGAAGUAUAGACUUAACUCUUAUUAGUAAAAGAGUGUUUAAGAAUAAAAAUAUAUCAAUACCCCUAACUUUGGAGACAAACUGAAGUACUGAAUGUACUUCUAUUUUUGAUUUUUCCCUUAGCAUGGUGAGUUGUUUGGGAAAUGAUUCAAUAGUUAUUUGUAGUUUCUAAAUUCUCAGCAGCAGUUGCCUCCUGAUAUGUGUCACUAUAUAUUCUGAGUUGACAUCUGUUAUCUGAAUCACCAAAAUAGUGCCUUGUUUUAAAAUUUAUCCACUAUUGGCUUAUGUUUUAUCUUACUCUAGGCCAUGUUAUCACUACAUGUGACAUCUCUGUAUAUGUGUUUGUGAAACUGGGAUAAAGUUGGCAAAACUUGAGAUAGAGGAAACUAUCUAUGAAACAUGUUUUGCAUUAGUAGAACAGGAGGCAUAAGCACAUUUGGAAUAGAAAGAACAGAGAAGGCGAUACUGGAGAAAUAGGAUCUCACAAAGGAAAGUAGAAUGCACGUAGAGAACUUAAAUGCAAUUUAGGCAAUAACCUAUGCAAUUUGGACAACUAUAGACCUACUAUGGCUUAUGGUUUCUACCAACUAGACUUAAGCUUCUUUUGGAAUAAAGCCUUUGCCUCAUGGAGGAAGUCAGUUAAUGUUUGUUGAUUGUGAUUUUGAUGAUGACAUUCAUGAUGAUAUUCUAUUUGGGGAAUGUUUUUCAAAGUGGGGCUUUGACCUGACAAACUGUUAUACCGAUAGAAAAAUCAACAUUCUCUCACUGACACCUUAGGUAUUUGACAGAUAUCUGAAAGAAAAAUAAUUUGAUAUGACCAAGCAAUAGUGAAGUGUAGGAUAUUGAUCUCCAGAGAUUUGUGAGACUAAAAAUUGUGCAAACGAAUAAAAAAAAAUCAUAGUCUAGAUUAUCCCAAUGUUGAACAAUAUACUUAUGUUUACACAUAAUGUUGGAAAAGUCAUCAGUGCAAUUUCUACAAUGCACUGAUGAUAAUGAUAAUGAAAUUUUAGUGACAAUGUGAUAAUGAAAUUUUAGAAGAAAUUAUAAUUAGUUUUUCAUCUCUCUUAAAUGGAUGUGUUGUUUUUUCUGUCCUCUUCCUUCUCCAUUUAUGCCUGUUCUGGUUCCUUGUUGACUUGGGGAAAUAUACAUGUGGGUAAUAAGGGUGAACAUUUCCGCAGAAACAAAGCAGGUCUACUAUGCUUCAGCAGGCUUAACUCUCAUUUGUUUAAUGAGGGUUUGGAAAGAUGGGGGGGUUUCCUACAUAUAGUCAAUGCAUACUUAAGAACACCUACUAUGUGCUGGCUUCAUUUUAGUCUCUAGGAACUGGGAGACAUAUUGAGCCAUCUGUAUCUACAUAUAUUAAAAUUGUUGUACCGAAGAGUAUUUCAAGGUCUUCUAUCUGUUUUCUUUUGGAUAGAAGCAGUCAGUGCAAACCAGCAUGGUGAAUGAGCUUGAUUGUAUUUAAGAGAAAAAAUUCUCACUUUUGGGGUUUUUGCUACCAAUUUUAAGAAUGGGGAGCUGUUUUCAGAACUAAAAGUUUGCCAGCGCACUAAUAAGAUGUAAAAUGAAGAAAAAUUAAAAAAUAGCUCUAUGGUUUCAAAGAAUGUGGAGCUACUUUGGCUUCAUCGGCAGAGUAAGUCUGUUAAUAACCCCGAAGCUCUCCCCUUGUUGAAAUAACACAAAUUAGCGUUUAACCUGGGAGGAAGACACGUGAAGUUAUUUAACAUUUACAUAAAAUUAUGGAGUAAACUCCAAACAGGUCGCCUCCAAAAUGUAUAAUUACACUCAGCAGUCCUGUCAGCAUACAUAGAAACAAUUUUAUUUCCAAUCAUCUUCUGCUUUUAUUCACUCAGGAAUGUAUCAUUAAAAUUUCCACAGAACAAUGAACCUUAAUAGGCGCUAAUGCAAUUGUGAAUUAUGGUAAUUGUUACCUAAAUUAAUCUCUGUACUUUCCAUUCCUUAUUGCCCUGUGCAUAAGGAGUGUGAAAAAGAUAAUGUUGAAACUGACAUUUGUAUAAAUGGUAUAAAAAUUUAUCUUAUUUAAUAAAAAUUUAAUAUAAGAACUUGCUACUUUGUAAAGUAGUUUACUCAGAAAAAAAUGUUAGAUUUGUUGCAAGUUGGGUUUAUAAAAUCUUUAAUUUGUGAAAUUUGGGAGGGAAACUGGCAGUUGACUCAUUAUGGUUAUCUUUGGGGUAUGUGUAUGCACCGAGGUAUCGGGAUGGUACAUGUAUGUUCCUCCGUGCACAUAUUGCCAGGGCAGUGUAUGCAUUCGUACCCUUAUCUGUGUGCCUGGCCUCUUUCUGUGUGUUUAUGUUUACUCAUUUACGUAAACUACCCUCUUGGUGUAAUAAAAUCCACCAUUAUGUGUUGAAUUGUGUUCCUCUCAAAUUCAUAUGCUGAAGUCUCCUAGUUCUUCAGAAUGUGACCAUAUUUGAAGAUAGGACCUUUAAAGAGGUGAUUAAGUUAAAAUUAGGCCGUAUGUUUGGGCUCUAAUCCAGUGUGACUGGUGUCCAUCUAAGAAGAAAUUAGGACAGAGACAUAGAGGGAAGACCAUUGGAAGACACAGGGAUAAGAUGGCUGUCUACAAGCCAAGGAGAGAGGCUCCUGAAGAAACCGGCCCUGCCAAUACCAUCUUGUCAGAUAUAUGGCCUCCAGAACUGUGGGAAAAUAAAUUUCUGUUGUUUAAGCCACA